UAUUUUUUAAUACUCUUUAACUAAAAUAUUUAAAAAAGUAUUUUUUUUUCAACAACGGCUCAAAUAGCAAUAUCAAACAGGCCCUAAAACAUGUUUAAUUCCAUCUACUAAAUCCUAAUAUACCCAAUUUAUAGAAAAAAAAGAUAUCAUAAUUAAUUACCUAUCCACAUAAAUUAAUUAUUUGAACUUGCUUCCACAAUAUUUAUAACGUUGGCAUCACAAUGUGCACAAUUUUUUCAUUUUCUUUUUUCCAAAAUUUUAUCAUAAAUUUAUUUUAAAAAAUGACAUUGCAGGUAUUGAAGUUGGAGACGAGCCACUUACUAAUAUUAGGGUAGCUAGCCAUUCUAAUUUAAUUUAAUUUAUACUUGAGUUGGAAAUAACUUGAUGUAAAGCUUUGUUUUAGUGUGUGAUGAUUAGACUAAUUGGUUGAAUUCAGGGGUUUCUUUUGGGUAACCCUUAUACUGAUUUAGGCAUUGACAUGAACGCAAGAAUUCAAUUUGCUCACAGAAUGACACUUUUAUCAGACCAACUUUACAAGUUUAGUUGCUCUCUAUGAUUAUUGUAUUCUUUAUUUUUAUUUUUAA
RNAcentral lists this unclassified non-coding RNA (584 nucleotides) under Hevea brasiliensis (rubber tree). The record is from RNAcentral. Lineage: Eukaryota; Viridiplantae; Streptophyta; Magnoliopsida; Malpighiales; Euphorbiaceae.